AUGAACAACUUCACAACCGGAGCCACGGGAACUUCUGCUGUACUUCUCGACUCCGGAAACUUUGUCAUCCGGUUGCCCAACAACACAGACAUAUGGCAAAGCUUCCAUUACCCAACCGACACCAUCCUCCCCGGCAUGCAAUUACCACUGAGCACAGAUGAUGAUCUCUACACUCGCCUCGUGGCUUGGAGGGGCCCUGAUGACCCAGCCACCAGCGACUACUCCAUGGGCGGUGACUCUAGUUCAGACCUCCAGGUUGUCAUCUGGAAUGGGACGAGGCCGUAUUGGCGCAGAGCUGCAUGGGAUGGUGCGUUGGUCACUGCCCUGUAUCAAAGCAGCACUGGCUUCAUCAUGACCCAAACAACUGUCGACAUAGGGGUUUUUAGCGUGGAACAGCACCUCAUCGUCAUGGAAUGUUUUCAUAGAGCGGCCUAA
This 435-nucleotide ribosomal RNA is filed under the name Triticum aestivum (bread wheat). Its description in RNAcentral is "partial small subunit ribosomal RNA". Lineage: Eukaryota; Viridiplantae; Streptophyta; Magnoliopsida; Poales; Poaceae. The record is from RNAcentral.